GGCUCAGAUUGAACGCUGGCGGCAUGCCUUACACAUGCAAGUCGAACGGCAGCACGGGGGCAACCCUGGUGGCGAGUGGCGAACGGGUGAGUAAUGCAUCGGAACGUGCCCGGUCGUGGGGAUAACGCAGCGAAAGCUGCGCUAAUACCGCAUACGAUCUGAGGAUGAAAGCGGGGGACCGUAAGGCCUCGCGCGAUCGGAGCGGCCGAUGUCAGAUUAGGUAGUUGGUGGGGUAAAGGCUCACCAAGCCGACGAUCUGUAGCUGGUCUGAGAGGACGACCAGCCACACUGGGACUGAGACACGGCCCAGACUCCUACGGGAGGCAGCAGUGGGGAAUUUUGGACAAUGGGCGCAAGCCUGAUCCAGCCAUGCCGCGUGUGGGAAGAAGGCCUUCGGGUUGUAAACUGCUUUUGUACGGAACGAAACGGUGAGCUCUAAUACAGUUUGCUAAUGACGGUACCGUAAGAAUAAGCACCGGCUAACUACGUG
This 490-nucleotide ribosomal RNA is filed under the name uncultured bacterium. RNAcentral describes it as "bacterial SSU rRNA". It matches the Rfam family "Bacterial small subunit ribosomal RNA", at positions 21 to 507 of the family's 1533-position model. The record is from RNAcentral.